Rhopilema esculentum is the source of this 5993-nucleotide non-coding RNA. The record is from RefSeq and is a predicted model, not a curated record. NCBI's taxonomy places the organism in Eukaryota, Metazoa, Cnidaria, Scyphozoa, Rhizostomeae, Rhizostomatidae.
CAAUUGGUCAAGCCAUGGAUAUUUUGCAACCUCUUUGCAAUGGAGUUGGAAAUCUGAACGAGGCUGCGUAUCGCUCAACCUAGAGUCAUUUAUCUUUCAUUUUUGCAACUGAAUACUCAUCCGCUUUUUGUCGAGCUUAUUCAGGCACCGCUCGUUCAGGCAGGUUGUUUUGGCACCAUACUGGGGCAGCUACAUUAUGUAGACUUCCCUGCUUCUAUAAUACUAAGUUCUUCCCCUUCGCCCAGUUAGAUUUAGGAGCACUUGUUGGACACGCUCUUUCAUCCGGUUUCUGCAAUACAAAACUGUUAGCGUUAGUUCCUUUUGAGGUUAUCUACAACUUUCAUCUUUAACGUUUGUAAUGGCAUCCCUAGUUGAGAAAGUUGAAAAUAAAGCCGAUUCUGGCAUCAGUACCUUUUCUGCUAGAUUUGCACUUUUAUCUUCUUCUUUGAUUCCCCCCUCUGCCCCCUUCCUUCAUCUACAGUACGUUCUCCCCCUAACCGCCUUUCUAUAUUUUUUCCCUACUUUUUCCAAGUCAGCCACCUUUUCAUCCCUCCUUCCAUCUCAAACACCCAUGCUAUUCAAGCUCAAAAUAGUGUAUCGUUACUAGUAGAAAUGUUAUCCUUAUCCCAAUUCAUUGCAUACUUAUUGCAGCCGUUCCACACUUACUAAUGUACAAUUUUUCGCUCGAUAGGCUAGGAAGUCUGUCAUCUUCACCAGCAAAAUUCCGUGAAGAUAGAGUAAUACGUCUUUAAGUUAACACUUUGACAGGUUUUGAUUCAAGACCAGCUUCAGCUUUUUGGAUGUUCGAGUACCAUCUUAUCUGAAGCACUAGAGUAGAAGUAACCACCGGGCCCCGCUAUGGAUCACUGCACAUGAAACGGAGUUGGCAGUCCUGGGGAUUCGCUUGAUUUGUCAUGCUUACAAUGAUGUAAUCACUAAAGCUGGACUCAAGUUGCAAGCAUCGAAUUGUUGUUUGUUGAAGACGCGUAAAUUUUAUAUUCAUCGUCUAUUAUUGUCUAAAAUAAUCCAAGAGGGCUGUAGUGCCAAGCCGGUUUUGAAGCCGAUGAUAUGAUCUAGAGGUAGAAGCCUCUCACUGUCUGAAUGCAUGGAAUCUGGUAUUUAGUUCUGCUCGCUUUUUUCCCAAAAAGAACAUUAUGCAAUGAUUCUCACCGUGCGGAAACAUUCCCGGAAAUAGCCUAUUUUCUUGGAACGAAGCAUCCUGAUUUAUCUAAAGUCUACAAGAUAGGCGACUGUGAAGUAAAAAUUCUGUCUGGCAGUUGUGCAUUCAGAGUAAUACCACAGAGAGCCCAUUGCCUUACUCUUGCCAAAGUCAUUCGCAGUGUUUUGCCAAGUUACAUCAUUACAUUAUCGGACAGACCGAUUAGUGAUAUCCUACCAAUUAGCAUCACUGUUUUCUAUAUAAACACGUGUCUUGCCAAAGUAACUUUUGUAACAAAUGCAGAUGGAAAGCUUCGUGUUCUGCCAGAGCUGAAAGUAGAGUCAAUGGUUGCCGAUUUGUCAGUGCCUUUUCCGUUCGGUGAUUACGAGCUAACGGCCAGGGGGAGCUGGGAAUUUGGUGGUAAAGAUUUGACUAUAAAAUUGACAAGAAGUAGUCCGAGGGAGAUGACGCUCUCUGGAUCCGUGCGCGAAGGUUUGUCUAUCAAGACCAUCGGAAAGAAAUUUGAUGUCGACAUUCUUCCAUCCGGAGGCUUAAAUGUUCUGCUACAGAACAUCGGUCUGGACGAUUUUAAAAUGCGAAGGGUCAAAUUACGCGGGAAAAUCGAUCCAGCCUCUGGAAAUUUUGAAAUUGUUUUUGCUGGGUCACCAGAAAUUAAAGGAUUCGAAGAAGGACAUUUACGCGUGUUUGUUGUAAAAAGAGGGAGCUAUAAAAAUCUAGGUAUACUUUUGGAACUGCCAGAUUACUCACCUGUUACUCUACUCAAACGUAUGUUUGGCCCGGCCGUUAACAGGAUCACGCUGUUACGCGAUCGAAACCAGACACUUGCUCUUUUUGUUACCAGUCAAAAUUUCUCGAACUUCUCGCAAAUACUUACGGCACACGGCAGCUCUAGAUGGAUACAUCGUGACUCUGAAUUCAUCGAAGGUGCGACGUUAUUAGUUACACUACCCUUUCCUAAACGUAAAGCUUUGGACAUGAAAAUACAGAUAUUUCCAGACGGGCUCGGAUUUUCGCUGCCGGACGGUGAAAAUCUUCCAGCUGAUUUAGCUUUGACAGCUAUUUCGCCGUUGCGAGUUACGCGUAUUGAUAAAAAAGACCGCAAACUUUACGACGAUAUGGAUUCUGAACAGAGGACUAAAAAGUUCCAUCAGAUCAUGAUUCUGAAAUUCAGGUACUUUAUAUUUAAUGAUACUUAUGUAGCCGCUGCAGAGCAGCUAAACGCGAUGGAGGAGGAACUUGAAGAGAUGAUGCCAACACCUCUGGAAGAGUCGAAUACUCUUGCAGAUUUUUUGUCGGAAGAAAGUCAUGCACCGGGGCAAAAAAAUGCUUUAGACAUGUUCUUUAAAAGAAGUGAGAGACUCUCGGAACAAGAAACUCGCAAUGAAGCACCUCUAAAAGAUGGCAAAGAUACAAUAAUUCCUAAAGUUAAGAAGACAUUGAUUUCCCGCAUUGGGCUUUUAAGAAAAAGGAGACAUGUAUAGCUGUUUUUCAUAUUUGUAUAUAUAGUUAAAAGCCAGGCAUAGAAACGUAGAAAGGUUUAUUUUUAAGGUAUUCUUUGUUUCCAAUAUCAUUUCAUAAUGCUUGUAGAUAUUUUUUUAUAAUGCAAAUUCGCUUUUUUAAUGUUUUUGUCAUCAUUUUCGUUUCAUCCUUUAUUUACUAUUUGAUUCAAGAAAUUUGCGAAAUCUUUCAACUAAUGCAUCAAGGAGGACGUGCAGGAUUUACUUGAUGUCCAUGGUGGAACAUAUUUUCCACUUUCUUUGACAAGUAUACCGAUUAACGUACUAUUCCAAGGACUAUUAUAUUUUUUCACAGCAUAUAAGAUCUUUUCAAUGCAUUUCUUUGAGUUUAGGUACAAAACUUGUCUUUUCUUAGUCGACGAAUACUUGUCUAUUAUUGUUAUGAGCAGGUAAUCCUUCCUUCUAAGAAAACCAAGUUGACCUCAUAUUCAAAACCUCGUUUUCGUUUCUUGGCCACAUGUUUCAAAAUGGCGCAAAAAACAACAAGAUUUUCAAGGGUUGUUCAGAGUAGAAUUGCUUGAAAUGGUGCAGGGACUUUGAGAUUCUUACUAGGUUUGUACAUUUAUUCGACUUAUGUUGGCUUUCCUGUGAAUGAUAAGAUUUACCAUGAUGUAAGUGAAGUAAGACAAUGUAAUCAACAGGCAAACCAUUUUUCGCAUUCGUCAACUGUACCCGACCCGAUCAUCUCUUUUAUAUCGGAGCAUGAAAAGUUUUGUGCCUAGAAUAAUGCUAACAAACGACCAAAUGAGGUUAUUAUUAGCACAAAAUUCUCAGGCUAAGGAGAUUUUUUGACAUUGGCACAAAAUAUUAGGUUCACACCCAAACUGGAUAAUAAAGACGCCUAGAAAAAGAAAAGCUGCAAAUCUCCUAAAAGUUCUCUUUUCUAAACAAUCAAAUUGUCUGUUUAUUGUUCGAAAACAAUGCUUUGUUUCUUAAACUUCCAUGUACCUGCUCAGUUCAUUUCUCAGUCAAUAGCAAUGAAAAGGAUUUAAUCAUGUUGGCCACUUGACGAUCGGGCUUUGGAACCCACUAUUGUUUGGCUUACGGGUUUGACAAGGUUAUAACAAACUCGUAGAAGACUCGGAGCACAGUUACUCCCUUUUUUACUCGACACAUUCCCUACAGGAAUUGAUUAUAUCUUUAAACAAGUUCAAAACAAACGCAAACAUAAUUAUAUGAUUUUGCUAACAGUAUAACCAUCACGUGUAGUAUAUCCCUCUUGGUUGUAUUUCUUGGUUUUUUUCAUACAGCUGUUUAAACAUGAAAGUUUAUUCAUACAGCUGUUUAAACAUGGAAGUUUAUAAAUAUGUUCAGUUUUAUGUUGGAAGCUCUGAUGAAGAGAGUAGUUUAAACUUACACAAAGGAGACCCGGAAGGCAUCUUUCCAGAAGUCAGCCUUACGGGUUAAAUUGUCUUCAAAUGUUUACCCGUGAAAGAAGAAAGAAUUUAAGGAGGGUGAUAAUGGACGCUUGAAGACGUAAGGCAAUCACAAAUGCAGUUACAAGAAAGAUCACCUGAAAGGCAACCUAGUUUUGGAAGAAGCCAUGCAAAAUUGUAUUUCAAUCAGAACUUAACCUUUUAGAAAGGAGUCUUCGAUGAGCUUUUUGUUUUAUCAUGCAUGCACUCAUUUUUGUAAGAAGCUACUUGAAAUAGAAAUUUUUUGAGGUUAGCUUAAGUUUAUGAAGCUGUUUCCUUUUUAGUACAUUCACAUCCCCUUUUUGGAUCUGAGAUUUAAAUAUUUAUAAACAAACGAUAAAAAUAGCUGUUAUACUUAUCUCAUUUAAUACGAAGAGCUAGUACAGACUCAAAACGAAGCCUUUCUUGCAAUGAAAGUAUCCAAACUAAGAAAAACAAUUACACGUUUAGAGAAAAGUUUCUUACAAAAUGAGUGUAUUCUGUUUAUCAAACAUCUUUUGUAUCUAGCCAAUCUUUUAUAAGCUCUAGCAGUAGCAUGUCAUUAGAUUUAAGUUCAGGGUUUGACUCAAAGAUUGUUGAUUUUGAUUGGGACAUGUGGGGCUAGGGACAUUGGAGACCCAUAGACGAAGGUAAAAUUGCAAAAGUGAGGGGCAACUCCUCCGUGGGCUGCAAAUGACACUUUACCUCUGGCUUUGAAAAUUGGGGGCACAUGUCCCUUGUGCCCUCAACUCCUGCAUGUUUGCCUAGAUUUGCGGUAGGAAGGACAGUAUAUUGAGAUAUUGAGCUUGCCAAUAGAGUAAGGUGUGAUAAGCAGUUGUACCCAAUCUUCCAAAUUGAUUUGUAAUAAUCAAGUCAAUUAACGUCUCAGUGUAAAAGGUCAUUGGGUCAAUUUGAAUUCGUAUGCAAAAAAAUCUUAACCUACACUAAAAAAUUGUUGAUUAGGAAUAUUGCUGUAACCCAAAAUUCAUUGUUUUCUUGUUUUUAUCCGAUUUCAAAAAAACGUUUGAAGGGGUAUGGCACUAGCGCAUUAGCGGAAGCCCGCCAAAAAUACAAUGCUGACGCCAUCUAUAAGUUUUUCUAGAUUUUAACAUUUUAAAGUUAAACAUUUACACGAAGGACUGUUUUUUAAGACGGAUUGCCUUUUAAAGUUGUAAGUACCUUUUACAUUUAAAUAAAUUGAGUAACUGCACUACUUAUCUCUUUUCUAUAUUGCUGUAAUAAGAGGGGUUGUUUAUUAACUGUUAGAAAACCAAGAACUAUUCUGCGCAACGCAGUACUUGGGGAUUCUUCACCUAUCUUCUAUGAGAGUAUUGAAAUCGCCAAUUGAAUUUCUUUUGUCUGAAGCGUGAAGGCUUUGUCUUGCGUGGCUGAUAGAAAGAUUAAUUUUUCAUGCCUUCAAAUUAUAUAAAAUUUUGAUUCCGAAUGGAGUAAGAUAUGGUUUAUUUAGCUGUGAAUCCCCUCAGAUUUUUUGCAGAAUUUUUUGAAAUUCUUUUUAUCAUUUAAUUGAAGUUUCUUACCCGGACGCCUCUCACCGGUCUUGGAUCACACAAAGAAGGCCCUUUGUUUUUGAAUUCAAUAGGCAGUGUUUCAACGGAAACUUGGGUUUCUGCCCCCAAAAUUCACUCAACUUUCAUUUGCUUCGCACCAAACGAUGCAGAAGAAUUUUCUCUUUCUAAUGAUUAUUUUGGUAAAAUUCUACGACAUUUCUUCGCAAAGUUAUUCGACAUUUUAUGCAUUUUUGGCAAGGGGGAUUCAGGUUUGCAUAAAGAAGUUCAGAAAAAACAAUAGGCUUGUGAUUCCCAGACUUUCUAAAGAAUCCAGUUUUUCGCCAAUACCUCCUUCGUUAUUUAAGAUAUAAAAUUGUGAGUGGUACCAAUAAAU